GAUGCAAGCCACCUUCUGAGACUGAGAGGAACUGAGGAGCUGAGGUGGUUUGGCAGAAGUGGACCAUGAGGGACUGAGAAGGGACCUGAGAGGAUGAGGCUGUCUCAGAAAGACCGUUAAAAAAAAAAGAGUUUGGAUGCUACUGAUGUACCAGAUGAAGGCACCCCUCCAGGCCUGACAUUCACAGCCAUCGAGGACAGCGAGUGCUGAGGAAGAGUAGGCAGUGCUUCCUGGGAAAAGGUGAAGAGUCCUGGAGUACAGUAGCCGGUCUGCCCUGCAGGUUGUCAUGACGCUCACUGAAGUGAUGGAUGUGAAAUGACUUUUGCCAAAAUGAACGCCAGACCUAAUCAAGAGAAUCAUACGGUGUUCUACACUUGGUUCAGAACAUACUGGAAAUACCCACCCGUGCAUCACGCCAAGCAGGAGUGCAGGAAAUGUAAGCUGCUUUCCUUUAACCCCCUCGAAGGGGUCACUUGAGGUUGAGGGCAAAGGGGCUUCCCCAGCCUAGAAGCUGAUGGGCCUCUGGCUCCUGCUUCCCCCUUCCUCCUCCAGCUAAUGACAAACACCUGGAUGUCUUAACGUCCUCCGUGAUGUCUUAACGUCCUCCGUGUCCUCAUCUGUUAUUCUGGGACACAGCCUGGGGAGGCUACCUGAGUAAGACCCCCCUGACUGAGGCUGGCCUCUUCUUGCCACGUGGCUGGCCCAGUGCCAUCCCACUUGAUGGAUGCAGAAGGGUGAGGCACUGAUCCUGCUCGUUGGACAGGAUGCUGGCAGGAGGGUGGGAGGAGCAGGGGCGGAGCUUCCAGAACAAAGGUGAACAGGGAGCCCUGGGGGCCCAGAUAGGCAUCAAAAAGGCUCUGCAGAGGGAGCAGGCCGCAGCAGCUGCCCGCCUCUGCGCCCAGCAGUAGGUCAUACAACCCUCGCCUGGUCCCUCCUGCCUGCCCUGGACGGGCGCCGAGGAACACUUCGCGUAGAGAGGCCCUGUUCUCCAGCGUGAUUGCGCCCACACUGCUCUGUGGCUUUCUCUACCUGGUGUGGGUUGCUACUGCAG
This is a long non-coding RNA of Camelus dromedarius (Arabian camel), 1051 nucleotides long. The record is from Ensembl. NCBI's taxonomy places the organism in Eukaryota, Metazoa, Chordata, Mammalia, Artiodactyla, Camelidae.